CUUACCAUGCAGUCGAACGAUGAAGCCCAGCUUGCUGGGUGGAUUAGUGGCGAACGGGUGAGUAACACGUGAGUAACCUGCCCUUAACUCUGGGAUAAGCCUGGGAAACUGGGUCUAAUACCGGAUAGGAGCGUCCACCGCAUGGUGGGUGUUGGAAAGAUUUAUCGGUUUUGGAUGGACUCGCGGCCUAUCAGCUUGUUGGUGAGGUAAUGGCUCACCAAGGCGACGACGGGUAGCCGGCCUGAGAGGGUGACCGGCCACACUGGACUGAGACACGGCCCAGACUCCUACGGGAGGCAGCAGUGGGGAAUAUUGCACAAUGGGCGCAAGCCUGAUGCAGCGACGCCGCGUGAGGGAUGACGGCCUUCGGGUUGUAAACCUCUUUCAGUAGGGAAGAGACGAAAGUGACGGUACCUGCAGAAGAAGCACCGGCUAACUACGUGCCAGCAGCCGCGGUAAUACGUAGGGUGCGAGCGUUAUCCGGAAUUAUUGGGCGUAAAGAGCUCGUAGGCGGUUUGUCGCGUCUGUCGUGAAAGUCCGGGGCUUAACCCCGGAUCUGCGGUGGGUACGGGCAGACUAGAGUGCAGUAGGGGAGACUGGAAUUCCUGGUGUAGCGGUGGAAUGCGCAGAUAUCAGGAGGAACACCGAUGGCGAAGGCAGGUCUCUGGGCUGUAACUGACGCUGAGGAGCGAAAGCAUGGGGAGCGAACAGGAUUAGAUACCCUGGUAGUCCAUGCCGUAAACGUUGGGCACUAGGUGUGGGGACCAUUCCACGGUUUCCGCGCCGCAG
RNAcentral lists this ribosomal RNA (789 nucleotides) under Micrococcus luteus. RNAcentral describes it as "bacterial SSU rRNA". It matches the Rfam family "Bacterial small subunit ribosomal RNA", at positions 48 to 851 of the family's 1533-position model. Lineage: Bacteria; Bacillati; Actinomycetota; Actinomycetes; Micrococcales; Micrococcaceae. The record is from RNAcentral.